Long non-coding RNA from Dermacentor silvarum, 445 nucleotides. RefSeq lists it as uncharacterized. The record is from RefSeq and is a predicted model, not a curated record. NCBI's taxonomy places the organism in Eukaryota, Metazoa, Arthropoda, Arachnida, Ixodida, Ixodidae. The transcript has 2 exons.
AGAUAUCUUUAGUCAUGUGAGUUGCAACCAGACGCUUAUAUAAGCAGCUGAUGUUCCAAGUGGGAAAUCUGAAGCUUUUGCAAGUGCUAACAUAGAAAAUGUCUUCCAGCUGCCACGUAUGGACCAUUUUGGCCAUAUAUAUUUUUCUUCUGUCCACAUUGCAAAGUAAAGAUAGGUCAUUUGCUGCGGCGGAACAGUAUCGCGUGGAAAUAGAGGAAAGAGGUUAUUACUACUACAACUAUCCUCAUGGAGGCCGCACACGUCCAACGACUCGACGUUCAACGCCAAGAUCAACGGCACGUUCUACACCCAAUCGGCAAGGAAGAUGACUUUGAACGCAUAUUAUUGUGCCAGGCAGUGCAUAGUGGAUCUUAGGCCCUGCUUAAAUCUGCCGUGCUAGAGAGCUGACUGCUGUGGAAUUUACCAAUAAAAGCUUUGCAACCGA